RNAcentral lists this ribosomal RNA (253 nucleotides) under uncultured bacterium. RNAcentral's name for it is "partial 16S ribosomal RNA". It matches the Rfam family "Bacterial small subunit ribosomal RNA", at positions 524 to 776 of the family's 1533-position model. The record is from RNAcentral.
UACAGAGGUCUCAAGCGUUGUUCGGAUUCAUUGGGCGUAAAGGGUGCGUAGGCGGCGCGGUAAGUCGGGUGUGAAAUCUCGGAGCUUAACUCCGAAACUGCAUUCGAUACUGCCGUGCUUGAGGACUGGAGAGGAGACUGGAAUUUACGGUGUAGCGGUGAAAUGCGUAGAGAUCGGGAAGAAGGCCGGUGGCGAAGGCGGCUCUCUGGAACGUUCCUGACACUGAGGCACGAAAGCGUGGGGAGCAAACAGG